CUAGCCAUAAACUUAAAUAUUUCUCAACAAAAUUAUUCGCCAGAGAACUACAAGCAACAGCUUAAAACUCAAAGGACUUGGCGGUGCUUUAUAUCCAUCUAGAGGAGCCUGUUAUGUAAUCGAUAAACCCCGAUAUACCUCACCAUCACUUGCCAAUACAGCCUAUAUACCGCCAUCUUCAGCAAACCCUUACAAGGAAUAAUAGUAAGCCAAAUUAUUACCAUAAAAACGUUAGGUCAAGGUGUAGCCAAUGUGAUGGCAAUAAAUGGGCUACAUUUUCUAUUUUAAGAACAUAUCCCUACGAAAGCCCAAAUGAAACCAAGGCUAAAGGAGGAUUUAGUAGUAAAUUAAGAAUAGAGAGCUUAAUUGAAUAAGGCCAUGAAGCACGC
RNAcentral lists this ribosomal RNA (389 nucleotides) under Orycteropus afer (aardvark). RNAcentral's name for it is "partial 12S ribosomal RNA". It matches the Rfam family "Bacterial small subunit ribosomal RNA", at positions 796 to 1384 of the family's 1533-position model. The record is from RNAcentral. Lineage: Eukaryota; Metazoa; Chordata; Mammalia; Tubulidentata; Orycteropodidae.